This is a non-coding RNA of Podarcis lilfordi (Lilford's wall lizard), 155 nucleotides long. The record is from the annotation of a GenBank genome assembly. Lineage: Eukaryota; Metazoa; Chordata; Lepidosauria; Squamata; Lacertidae.
UCUCCCUAGGACAGCGGUUCUCAACCUGUGGGUCCCCAUAUCUUGUUGGACUACAACUCCCAUCAUCCCUGAGCUCUGGCUAGCUAGGGGUGAUGGGAGUUGUAGUUCAACAACAUCUGGGGACCCACAGGUUGAGAAAGGCUGCCCUAGGAGGU